GUAAGGUUUCUGCAUUUGGAGGCAGCUCUAAAGUAUUAUAUACUUUACUGUUAUUAUCUUCAAAAGAUGUUCAGUUCAAACAGAACCAGAAUGAGAAAAGUACAAUUCCCUCGAGAAAGCCAAACUACAAAGUGCUGUGAGUGCAGCUCGAGUGGAAGCAUUUUAAAAUCUUCUGGUGGGCUGAGAACGUUCAUAAACUUCUUUUUCUGCUCGAGCGUUGCCGACUUAAAGAAAGCUCUGUUUGCUCGGGACUCAAAAGGGACCCCGGAGUUCACUGAGGCUUCCCAUGUCCCCCCCACUCACACACUGAUGGGACGGCGGAACAAACUGGACCCUCUUCUGUGUUCUGGUGACACGAGGACAUGGAGACAUCCGGAAG
This is a long non-coding RNA of Gasterosteus aculeatus aculeatus (three-spined stickleback), 379 nucleotides long. The record is from Ensembl. NCBI's taxonomy places the organism in Eukaryota, Metazoa, Chordata, Actinopteri, Perciformes, Gasterosteidae.